RNAcentral lists this long non-coding RNA (511 nucleotides) under Podarcis lilfordi (Lilford's wall lizard). Lineage: Eukaryota; Metazoa; Chordata; Lepidosauria; Squamata; Lacertidae. The record is from RNAcentral.
UCUCUUUAUUGAAUAUUACAAACAUUGCCACAGGUGUGCUUGUGGCUGAUUGGUUGAUACAAACACAAAGCAUCUUGUUGCUGAUUGGUUAACAUAGGUACAAGGCGGGAAUAACAUAUGACAUCAAUCAGUGAUAGUUCAAAAGACUGGGAACGGAGCUGGAACUAGACAGGCAUGAAACCUCCUAAUUAAAUUAUAACUAAAGAUUGAUAUUGAGAGAACAUAACAUGAAGGAAUACAACAAUCACGUUCCGUAAAUGUGGUCAGCAAAGCAUUAAGAACAGGUCAGGAUACACUGUUUCAUGAACUCAAUGGGAACUGUUCAGAACAUUCUCAGACUUAUGUGCAGAGGCAAAAACUUCCCAGAAUGUAAGAGAGAAAAGAAGGAAAAGUUCUAAAAGCAAGACUUUCCCACAAUGCGACAGUUAUGUGCAGUAAGAGAACUGCAGAAAGAAAAACUUAGACUUAUGUGCAGUAAGAGAAACUGCAGAAAGAAAACUUCCCUUCAGAG